GAUGAAGAACGCAGCGAAAUGCGAUAAGUAGUGUGAAUUGCAGAAUUCAGUGAAUCAUCGAAUCUUUGAACGCACAUUGCGCCCCUUGGUAUUCCAUGGGGCAUGCCUGUUCGAGCGUCAUUUGUACCCUCAAGCUUUGCUUGGUGUUGGGUGUUUGUCCCGCGUUGCGCGUGGACUCGCCUUAAAGCGAUUGGCAGCCGGCAUAUUGGCCUUGGAGCGCAGCACAUUUUGCGCUUCUAGUCAUGUAUGUUGGCGUCCAUUAAGCCUAUACAUUUGCUCUUGACCUCGGAUCAGGUAGGGAUACCCGCUGAACUUAAGCAUAUCAAUAAGCGGAGGA
Molecule: unclassified non-coding RNA, 337 nt
Filed under: soil metagenome
Description: partial contains 5.8S ribosomal RNA, internal transcribed spacer 2, and large subunit ribosomal RNA
Rfam family: 5.8S ribosomal RNA (bases 1-120)
Source: RNAcentral